This is a long non-coding RNA of Culicoides brevitarsis, 1037 nucleotides long. RefSeq lists it as uncharacterized. The record is from RefSeq and is a predicted model, not a curated record. The transcript is spliced from 2 exons. NCBI's taxonomy places the organism in Eukaryota, Metazoa, Arthropoda, Insecta, Diptera, Ceratopogonidae.
UACGUGCACGACGUACACGGGAUGUCGUCACAAGUUCUUUUCGGGAACGGAUGUGAGACCAAAAAAAUUCUUUAAAAUCGCCGAAAUUUUCCGUCGAUGCCGAAAAACGCGAGUUUUUGUCGUCGCGCACUGUUUUUGUUUACGUCUCGUCACUCGCGACACUUUCGCAACGCAAUGAUGCCCCAAAAAAGCGCCUCGUAACUGUCAAUGGCGAGGCUCCUUCAAUUCAGACCGACGUCGUCGUGUGUGUACGCGGUACGGGUACGGGUACGGGCGAGAAAAAAAGAGACGACGAGCGAAAUGAGGUAAUGAAGGACUACAGCUUUUCCGCCGUUUUGACGCAAAAUUGCCGGUUUCGUUUUGGCAUUUUAUCGCAUUUCGUCGCUACUCACCUCGCAGCGGGCUUUUAAUGGGCUUUCGCACACUUUGCGCGGCUUUUAUCCUGGAAAAAUGCAAGAAUUUCAGAAACUUAAUGAUACCCACAAAACUUAUGGAACCUGUGAAAUGUGCGCUGGAAAAGAUGCCCGCUCGUGUGACAGCGAAGCCGACUGCCAAACGUCACUUUUGACAUUUCUAACAACACAACAUUCGGCUCGAAUCCUUGAAAAUCCCGAAAAACCCGCAAAUUUCGAUUAAAAAUCGACUUUUUAACAGCAAAAAUCACUUUUUAUCGUAAAAAUUGCCAUCAAACCACCUGAAAAAACCAAAAAAUCAUCAAAACCGAGGAGAAAUCCGAGAAAAACAAUUUCGCACGCCGCCGUAACAAAACAAAACACAGAAAAUGAUUAUCCCCGUGAGAUGUUUUACUUGCGGAAAAGUAAUUGGCAACAAAUGGGAGGCUUAUUUGGGUCUUUUGCAAGCUGAAUAUACAGAAGGUGACGCCCUUGAUGCUUUGGGCUUGAAACGAUAUUGCUGCAGACGAAUGCUCCUUGGACACGUUGAUUUGAUCGAAAAAUUGCUAAAUUAUGCCCCGCUUGAGAAAUAAAGAGAUAAUUUUAUGAUUAAUUAGGACGUUAAAAUUAUUAAAAAUGUUUUAA